GAAAUGCGAUAAGUAAUGUGAAUUGCAGAAUUCAGUGAAUCAUCGAAUCUUUGAACGCACCUUGCGCUCCUUGGUAUUCCUUGGAGCAUGCCUGUUUGAGUAUCAUGAAAUCUUCAAAGUAAAUCUUUUGUUAACUCAAUUGGUUUCUACUUUGGUAUUGGAGGUCUUUGCAGCUUCACACCUGCUCCUCUUUGUUCAUUAGCUGGAUCUCAGUGUUAUGCUUGGUUCCACUCGGCGUGAUAAGUUAUCUAUCGCUGAGGACACUGUAAAAGGUGGCCAAGGUAAAUGCAGAUGAACCGCUUCUAAUAGUCCAUUGACUUGGACAAUACUUUUAUGAUCUGAUCUCAAAUCAGGUAGGCCUACCCGCUGAACUUAAGC
Molecule: unclassified non-coding RNA, 378 nt
Filed under: plant metagenome
Description: partial contains 5.8S ribosomal RNA, internal transcribed spacer 2, and large subunit ribosomal RNA
Rfam family: 5.8S ribosomal RNA (bases 1-105)
Source: RNAcentral